CUCCGGCGGGAACACCAGCUUGCUGAGGUCGAAGUCGAGGUAGUUCCACGACAGGUCCACCUUGCCGAUGGGCCGGCCGGCGACGAACAGGUGGGAGGGGUCGCCGGUGAGCUUGUUGUGGGAGAGGUCCACGGUGUUGAUCUCGUCGUGGGCGUCGUCGCGCGGGAUGGGCCCCGUCAGCUGGUUGUAGGACAGGAUCAGCGACCGGAACUGCCCCUGCACCAGCCCCGCCGGGAUGGUGCCCGUCAGCUGGUUGUGCCGGAG
This 264-nucleotide long non-coding RNA is filed under the name Sorghum bicolor (sorghum). RNAcentral describes it as "long non-coding RNA (SBIC_LNC003832)". The record is from RNAcentral. Lineage: Eukaryota; Viridiplantae; Streptophyta; Magnoliopsida; Poales; Poaceae.